CCUACGGGAGGCAGCAGUGAGGAAUAUUGGUCAAUGGACGAGAGUCUGAACCAGCCAAGUAGCGUGAAGGAUGACUGCCCUAUGGGUUGUAAACUUCUUUUAUAUGGGAAUAAAAUGUUCCACGUGUGGGCUUUUGUAUGUACCAUAUGAAUAAGGAUCGGCUAACUCCGUGCCAGCAGCCGCGGUAAUACGGAGGAUCCGAGCGUUAUCCGGAUUUAUUGGGUUUAAAGGGUGCGUAGGCGGACAGUCAAGUCAGCGGUAAAAAUGCGGUGCUCAACGCCGUACAGCCGUUGAAACUGGCAGUCUUGAGUGGGCGAGAAGUAUGCGGAAUGCGUGGUGUAGCGGUGAAAUGCAUAGAUAUCACGCAGAACUCCGAUUGCGAAGGCAGCAUACCGGCGCCCGACUGACGCUGAGGCACGAAAGCGUGGGUAUCGAACAGGAUUAGAUACCCCAGUAGUC
RNAcentral lists this ribosomal RNA (459 nucleotides) under uncultured bacterium. Its description in RNAcentral is "partial 16S ribosomal RNA". It matches the Rfam family "Bacterial small subunit ribosomal RNA", at positions 338 to 795 of the family's 1533-position model. The record is from RNAcentral.